AAGGAAGUUUUCGGAUGGAAUUUGAAAUGACUGAGCGGCGGACGGGUGAGUAACGCGUGGGUAACCUGCCUCAUACAGGGGGAUAACAGUUAGAAAUGACUGCUAAUACCGCAUAAGCACACAGUACCGCAUGGUACAGUGUGAAAAACUCCGGUGGUAUGAGAUGGACCCGCGUCUGAUUAGCUGGUUGGCGGGGUAACGGCCCACCAAGGCGACGAUCAGUAGCCGACCUGAGAGGGUGACCGGCCACAUUGGGACUGAGACACGGCCCAAACUCCUACGGGAGGCAGCAGUGGGGAAUAUUGCACAAUGGGGGAAACCCUGAUGCAGCAACGCCGCGUGAGUGAAGAAGUAUUUCGGUAUGUAAAGCUCUAUCAGCAGGGAAGAAAGUGACGGUACCUGACUAAGAAGCCCCGGCUAACUACGUGCCAGCAGCCGCGGUAAUACGUAGGGGGCAAGCGUUAUCCGGAUUUACUGGGUGUAAAGGGAGCGUAGACGGCACAGCAAGUCUGAAGUGAAAUCCCCGGGCUCAACCCGGGAACUGCUUUGGAAACUGCUGGGCUGGAGUGCUGGAGAGGCAAGCGGAAUUCCUAGUGUAGCGGUGAAAUGCGUAGAUAUUAGGAGGAACACCAGUGGCGAAGGCGGCU
Molecule: ribosomal RNA, 647 nt
Filed under: uncultured Lachnospiraceae bacterium
Lineage: Bacteria; Bacillati; Bacillota; Clostridia; Lachnospirales; Lachnospiraceae
Description: bacterial SSU rRNA
Rfam family: Bacterial small subunit ribosomal RNA
Source: RNAcentral